This 438-nucleotide ribosomal RNA is filed under the name uncultured bacterium. Its description in RNAcentral is "bacterial SSU rRNA". It matches the Rfam family "Bacterial small subunit ribosomal RNA", at positions 343 to 794 of the family's 1533-position model. The record is from RNAcentral.
CGGAGGCAGCAGUGAGGAAUCUUCCGCAAUGGGCGAAAGCCUGACGGAGCAACGCCGCGUGAAUGAUGAAGGCCUUCGGGUUGUAAAAUUCUGUCUUCAGGGAAGAAAAAAAUGACGGUACCUGAGGAGGAAGCCCCGGCUAACUACGUGCCAGCAGCCGCGGUAAAACGUAGGGGGCGAGCGUUGUCCGGAAUUACUGGGCGUAAAGGGCGCGUAGGCGGUUUAAUAAGUCUCAAGGUGAAAACUAUCGGCUUAACCGGUAGCCUGCCUGAGAAACUGUUAGACUUGAGGGCAGGAGAGGGGAGUGGAAUUCCCAGUGUAGCGGUGAAAUGCGUAGAUAUUGGGAGGAACACCAGUGGCGAAGGCGGCUCUCUGGCCUGUUACUGACGCUGAGGCGCGAAAGCGUGGGGAGCGAACGGGAUUAGAUACCCCGGUAGA